UCCAGAUACCACCCAAGAUCUUGUUUGUCUCACUUUCAUAGAAUUCCACGUCAUUUUCUUUUUCUUCCAUCUUAAACUUAUCAUUUUUUUAUAUUUCCAUUGUCUAAAUCUCUGUCGAUCCCUUAACCAGCUAGAGUAAUCCUUUUCCGGCUUGCAUUCAAUGAAGUCAGCUAAAUCAUCAAAAUCAGAUACUCGGGAGUUUUGUCCAAGUACACAUUUCAGGAACAUCUCACCAUUACUGGUUUCCUUAGUAUUGUCUGCUACAGCAGAAUCCAGGUCAUUUGGGACAGAGGAAUAUUUUAAAGUUUCCGCUUGCUCGUCUUGUUUUAUUUUGUUAGAACAUAUGAACGAACCUGUUCUCAAGUACAUAUCAUGAAUCUUCUGAAAUUUUGAUGAAAUUAUUCGGCUAGUUUUUCUGAUCACCAGGACCCCUUCAACAUUGUCAGACAAUUUAGGUGAACAGGAAUUUGAUCCAAAACCAAAUAAUGACCCUAGUGCACUGAGAUCACACUCUUCAACAAGAAACCAAUUCAACAGUGUCAUCAUCAUAAAUAAACAGCUCUUCACUAAGAAAUCAAUCCCACUAACAUAAGUUAAUGAAAGCAAGCCUGAAAGAUGCAAAAGCAUCCACUUGG
RNAcentral lists this unclassified non-coding RNA (635 nucleotides) under Hevea brasiliensis (rubber tree). Lineage: Eukaryota; Viridiplantae; Streptophyta; Magnoliopsida; Malpighiales; Euphorbiaceae. The record is from RNAcentral.